GGGCGGAUAGCUCAGUUGGUAGAGCAACGGACUGAAAAUCCGUGUGUCGCCGGUUCAACUCCGGCUCUGCCCACCA
This 76-nucleotide transfer RNA is filed under the name Planctomycetota bacterium. Its description in RNAcentral is "Planctomycetes bacterium tRNA-Phe". It matches the Rfam family "tRNA". Rfam says of the family: Transfer RNA (tRNA) molecules are approximately 80 nucleotides in length. Their secondary structure includes four short double-helical elements and three loops (D, anti-codon, and T loops). Lineage: Bacteria; Pseudomonadati; Planctomycetota. The record is from RNAcentral.